Benincasa hispida (wax gourd) is the source of this 1075-nucleotide non-coding RNA. The record is from RefSeq and is a predicted model, not a curated record. NCBI's taxonomy places the organism in Eukaryota, Viridiplantae, Streptophyta, Magnoliopsida, Cucurbitales, Cucurbitaceae.
GCCAAUUUCCACGUAAAAAAUCCGGCAAUCAAAUGCCCUAACAGCCUAAAAUGUGUCCUCUUUUUUCUUUUUUCGGCAAUUCCCCCGCCCCUGUUUCUUCCCUUUCGUCAAACGACAGGCUAGCUUUAAUCGAACACCUCCGUGACCGAUUCUGGUCAUCUUCUUCCCAGUUCCGGAAAAGCAAAUUCCAAGUGAUUACCAUAAAACAUCCUCAUCCCACCGGAAUAAAGCCAUCCUCAUUUCCUUUCGCCCUAAAACAAACUUCGUUGUGAUUCUUCAACCCGAGAUUCAUUCAAGACAUAACAGGAAUCUUUGAGAAGGCUAAAAUUAAGGGGAAGGAUGUCCAAAUCUUGCAAAGGCUUAGCGAUGGAACUGGUCAAGUGUCUCAGCGAAUCUGAUUGUGUAAAGGUUCAGAAUCGAACUUACAGGGAAUGUGCUGGAGAGAAGAGUCCUUGCAUACCUAGCGAGUGUGUGGGAUUAAGGGAAACAUAUUUCAAUUGUAAAAGAGGCCAGGUUGACAUGAGGGCGAGGAUUCGAGGGAACAAAGGUUAUUGAAUGAGGGGUGGAGCUGAGCAAUUCCAUGAAAAGAAGUUUGAAACUUCGAAUUUGAAUGCCUGGAAAUUUGUCUGCAAUGACCUUGUUAUAGGUUUUUUACCAUUAUACAAGUACAUACGCUACUAGAAGAAGGAAGGGACUGUUUUGGGUGCUAAGAUAAUAUAGGAUGUAGGGAGCUUUGAUGUUUGGAGAAUUCUGAUCGAGUAUGAACGAUUGAGUAUGUUCAAGCACUGAGAUGAUAUAUGAUACACAGAAUGAAAAUGACUGUGAGAUACGAAAGACGUUCUGAAAAUGGGCUCACAAACAAUUAAAAUCGUUGAGAUAAGAUAAUGGCUUCCAAACACUGAGAUGAUAUAAGAUGUGGGGAUAUACCAUCUCAUGUUGGGUUCCGAAACAACCCCUACAUUUUCUUAUCUUAAUUUUUUUAUUGAAUUAUUCGGGUUAGAUUGUGUGAUAGGAUUACAUUAAUUUAUGUGUGUAAGGUGUUACUUCCAUUACUUAUAUUGUUCUUGCUUUCAAA